Molecule: long non-coding RNA, 1149 nt
Organism: Psammomys obesus (fat sand rat)
Lineage: Eukaryota; Metazoa; Chordata; Mammalia; Rodentia; Muridae
Exons: 3
Source: RefSeq, a predicted model, not a curated record
GGCGCAGAGGUGAGCGGUCCUCCCCGCCGGCCGCACCCCUUGGGACGCUCUGGGCUCGGAAAGUUCUGGAAGCUGCUUCUGCUGCGUUCCCGCGCCUACGCCCACUCUCUAGCCCGAGGUGACAGAGCGUGUCCCCACCUUUCCUGAAUUCUGCUUGAAGGGUUUUACUGUGCCGCGUGCACUGAAGUUCUCAAGCCGCUGCGAUUUUCAUGAUGGUAAUUACCGUGGGAAUGGGGAAUGGUGCCGCUUUCUAAAAACACAAAUCCUCCAGCCAUGAAGAGCUCCUCAGCCCAGAAAAAUCGCUUGGAAAGGGAGACAGUGGACACAAAAUACACACCAUUCCUUGUGGAAUAUAAAAUAAUCUACAUCUAAAUGUUACUAAAGAAAAUCAAAAGAAAGGAAGUAAUCAAGAGAAAACAAAAAGAGGUCCCAGAGAAUGAAGAGUGUGGGAAAAGGAGAAUGACCCUGAAGUAACUUUUCAGAUGAAAAGAUUUGGUCUUUGGAGAGAAAGCAGAGCAGCUCUGACUUUAAAGCUGAAGACUCAGGGCUUCUGGCCCCCUGAAGGGGAAGGACCCAGUGUACCCAGCACAGCCAGGUUCAUCUUGGAAUUUCUGCAGCGCGAAAGCAGGAGCUGCGUCAGCUCCCCAUCACUGCUGUGACAAGCACCUGAUAAAAAGCCCCUUAAGGAGGGUUUAUCUGGGCCCAGAGCCUGUCACGGUGGGACCAUGAAGACACUGGUCACCUCGCAUCCGCAGCCAGGAAGCAGGGAACAAAGAAUGCUGGCGCUCAGCUCACCUUCUCUUCUUUCCAUUCAGCCUUGGCUCCCAGGCUAAGGAAAGGUGACUCCCACUGAUGAGGCUCUCACGGAAGUGUCAGGCCAUGGAAAGGUGACUCCCUCCGAAGUGUCCAGACAUUUGUCUCCCAGAUGAUUCUGGAUUCUGUCAAAGUGACAAUGUCAACCAUUACAGAUGUCUAAUAAACAUUUGUUAAAUGAUUUAUCAUGGAGAGAUGGCUCAGAGGUUAAGAGCACUGGCUGCUCUUCCAGAGGUCAUGAGUUCAAUUCCCAGCAACCACGUGGUGGCUCACAACCAUCCAUAAUGAGAUCUGGUGCCCUCUGCUGGUGUGCAGGUGUACAUGCAAACAACAUUA